GGGCACUUAGCUCAAUUGGUCAGAGCGCUUCGCUUACACCGAAGAGGUUAGGGGUUCGAGUCCCUUAGUGCCCA
This 74-nucleotide transfer RNA is filed under the name Anaerolineae bacterium. RNAcentral's name for it is "tRNA-Val". It matches the Rfam family "tRNA". Rfam says of the family: Transfer RNA (tRNA) molecules are approximately 80 nucleotides in length. Their secondary structure includes four short double-helical elements and three loops (D, anti-codon, and T loops). The record is from RNAcentral. Lineage: Bacteria; Bacillati; Chloroflexota; Anaerolineae.